RNAcentral lists this ribosomal RNA (253 nucleotides) under uncultured bacterium. RNAcentral describes it as "partial 16S ribosomal RNA". It matches the Rfam family "Bacterial small subunit ribosomal RNA", at positions 524 to 776 of the family's 1533-position model. The record is from RNAcentral.
UACAGAGGUCUCAAGCGUUGUUCGGAUUCAUUGGGCGUAAAGGGUGCGUAGGUGGCGGGGCAAGUUUGGUGUGAAAUCCCGGGGCUCAACCUCGGAACUGCACUGAAUACUGCCUUGCUAGAGCACUGGAGAGGGAACUGGAAUUUACGGUGUAGCAGUGAAAUGCGUAGAUAUCGUAAGGAAGACCAGUGGCGAAGGCGGGUUUCUGGACAGUACCUGACGCUGAGGCACGAAGGCCAGGGGAGCAAACGGG